This 264-nucleotide ribosomal RNA is filed under the name uncultured bacterium. RNAcentral describes it as "partial 16S ribosomal RNA". It matches the Rfam family "Bacterial small subunit ribosomal RNA", at positions 333 to 589 of the family's 1533-position model. The record is from RNAcentral.
GGCUUCCUACGGGGCGCAGCAGUAGGGAAUUUUCGUCAAUGGGCGCAAGCCUGAACGAGCGAUGCCGCGUGAGUGAAGAAGGCCUUCGGGUCGUAAAGCUCUGUUGCGGGGGAAAAAAGGCAGCAUCAGGAAAUGGGUGCUGACUGAUGGUGCCCCGCCAGAAAGUCACGGCUAACUACGUGCCAGCAGCCGCGGUCAUACGUAGGCGGCGAGCGUUAUCCGGAAUGAUUGGGCGUAAAGGGUGCGCAGGCGGUCGUGCAAGUC